Molecule: transfer RNA, 74 nt
Filed under: bacterium
Lineage: Bacteria
Also listed under: 3 other names
Description: tRNA-Val
Rfam family: tRNA
About the family: Transfer RNA (tRNA) molecules are approximately 80 nucleotides in length.
Source: RNAcentral
GGGCGGUUAGCUCAGUUGGUUAGAGCGCCACUUUGACGCAGUGGAGGCCAGAGGUUCGAAUCCUCUACCGCCCA